RNAcentral lists this ribosomal RNA (805 nucleotides) under uncultured Pelagibacteraceae bacterium. RNAcentral's name for it is "bacterial SSU rRNA". It matches the Rfam family "Bacterial small subunit ribosomal RNA", at positions 36 to 889 of the family's 1533-position model. The record is from RNAcentral. Lineage: Bacteria; Pseudomonadati; Pseudomonadota; Alphaproteobacteria; Candidatus Pelagibacterales; Candidatus Pelagibacteraceae.
CUGGCGGCACGCCUAAUACAUGCAAGUCGAACGAAGUAGCAAUACUUAGUGGCAGACGGGUGAGUAACAUGUGGGUAUCUUCCCUUUGGUGAGGAAUAACACGAGGAAACUUGUGCUAAUACCUCAUAAGUCUUUACGGAGAAAGCUUUAUGCGCCAUUGGAUGAGCCCGCACUUGAUUAGUUUGUUGGUGGGGUAAUGGCCUACCAAGACUUUGAUCAAUAGCUGAUUUGAGAGGAUGAUCAGCCACAUUGGGACUGAGACACGGCCCAAACUCCUACGGGAGGCAGCAGUAGGGAAUCUUGCACAAUGGAGGAAACUCUGAUGCAGCGAUGCCGCGUGAGUGAAGAAGGCCUUUGGGUUGUAAAGCUCUUUCGUCGGGGAAGAAAAUGACUGUACCCGAAUAAGAAGGUCCGGCUAACUUCGUGCCAGCAGCCGCGGUAAUACGAAGGGACCUAGCGUAGUUCGGAAUUACUGGGCUUAAAGAGUUCGUAGGUGGUUAAAAAAGUUGGUGGUGAAAGCCCAGAGCUUAACUCUGGAACUGCCAUCAAAACUUUUUAGCUAGAGUAUGAUAGAGGAAAGCAGAAUUUCUAGUGUAGAGGUGAAAUUCGUAGAUAUUAGAAAGAAUACCAAUUGCGAAGGCAGCUUUCUGGAUCAUUACUGACACUGAGGAACGAAAGCAUGGGUAGCGAAGAGGAUUAGAUACCCUCGUAGUCCAUGCCGUAAACGAUGUGUGUUAGAUGUUGGAAAUUUAUUUUCAGUAUCGCAGCGAAAGCGAUAAACACACCGCCUGGGGAGUACGACCGC